Molecule: ribosomal RNA, 407 nt
Filed under: uncultured bacterium
Lineage: Bacteria
Description: bacterial SSU rRNA
Rfam family: Bacterial small subunit ribosomal RNA
Source: RNAcentral
UGGGGAAUAUUGCACAAUGGGCGCAAGCCUGAUGCAGCGACGCCGCGUGAGGGAUGACGGCCUUCGGGUUGUAAACCUCUUUCAGCAGGGAAGAAGCGCAAGUGACGGUACCUGCAGAAGAAGCGCCGGCUAACUACGUGCCAGCAGCCGCGGUAAUACGUAGGGCGCAAGCGUUGUCCGGAAUUAUUGGGCGUAAAGAGCUCGUAGGCGGUUUGUCGCGUCUGCUGUGAAAACGCGAGGCUCAACCUCGCGCCUGCAGUGGGUACGGGCAGACUAGAGUGCGGUAGGGGAGACUGGAAUUCCUGGUGUAGCGGUGGAAUGCGCAGAUAUCAGGAGUAACACCGGUGGCGAAGGCGGGUCUCUGGGCCGUAACUGACGCUGAGGAGCGAAAGCAUGGGGAGCGAACA